CAAUAGCGUAUAUUAAAGUUGUUGCGGGUAAAAAGCUCGUAGUUGGAUUUCUGCCGAGGACGACCGGUCCGCCCUCCGGGUGAGUAUCUGGCUCGGCCUGGGCAUCUUCUUGGAGAACGUAACUGCACUUGGCUGUGUGGUGCGGUAUUCAGGACUUUUACUUUGAGGAAAUUAGAGUGUUUCAAGCAGGCACACGCCUUGAAUACAUUAGCAUGGAAUAAUAAGAUAGGACCUCGGUUCUAUUUUGUUGGUUUCUAGAUCUGAGGUAAUGAUUAAUAGGGAUAGUUGGGGGCAUUCGUAUUUAACUGUCAGAGGUGAAAUUCUUGGAUUUGCUAAAGACGGACUACUGCGAAAGCAUUUGCCAAGGAUGUUUUCAUUGA
RNAcentral lists this ribosomal RNA (380 nucleotides) under uncultured eukaryote. RNAcentral's name for it is "partial 18S ribosomal RNA". It matches the Rfam family "Eukaryotic small subunit ribosomal RNA", at positions 592 to 976 of the family's 1831-position model. The record is from RNAcentral.